Molecule: ribosomal RNA, 432 nt
Filed under: uncultured bacterium
Lineage: Bacteria
Description: partial 16S ribosomal RNA
Rfam family: Bacterial small subunit ribosomal RNA
Source: RNAcentral
AACGAACGCUGGCGGCAUGCCUAACACAUGCAAGUCGAACGAGACCUUCGGGUCUAGUUGCGCACGGGUGCGUAACGCGUGGGAACCUGCCCUUAGGUUCGGAAUAACUCCCUGAAAGGGGUGCUAAUACCGGAUAAUGUCUUCGGACCAAAGAUUUAUCGCCUUUGGAUGGGCCCGCGUUGGAUUAGCUAGUUGGUAGGGUAAAAGCCUACCAAGGCGACGAUCCAUAGCUGGUCUGAGAGGAUGAUCAGCCACACUGGGACUGAGACACGGCCCAGACUCCUACGGGAGGCAGCAGUGGGGAAUAUUGGACAAUGGGCGAAAGCCUGAUCCAGCAAGGCCGCGUGAGUGAUGAAGGCGUUAGGGUUGUAAAGCUCUUUUACCCGGGAUGAUAAUGACAGUACCGGGAGAAUAAGCUCCGGCUAACUCCGU